UACGUAGGCAGCGAGCGUUGUUCGGAGUUACUGGGCGUAAAGGGUGUGUAGGCGGUUCUUUAAGUUUGGUGUGAAAUCUCCCGGCUCAACCGGGAGGGUGCGCCGAAUACUGAGGGACUAGAGUACGGGAGAGGAAAGUGGAAUUCCUGGUGUAGCGGUGAAAUGCGUAGAUAUCAGGAGGAACACCUGAGGUGAAGACGGGUUGCUGGGCUGACACUGACGCUGAGGCGCGAAAGCCAGGGGAGCAAACGGG
Molecule: ribosomal RNA, 253 nt
Filed under: uncultured prokaryote
Description: partial 16S ribosomal RNA
Rfam family: Bacterial small subunit ribosomal RNA
Source: RNAcentral